AAAUUGAAGAGUUUGAUCAUGGCUCAGAUUGAACGCUGGCGGCAGGCCUAACACAUGCAAGUCGAACGGUAACAGGAAGCAGCUUGCUGCUUCGCUGACGAGUGGCGGACGGGUGAGUAAUGUCUGGGAAACUGCCUGAUGGAGGGGGAUAACUACUGGAAACGGUGGCUAAUACCGCAUAACGUCGCAAGACCAAAGAGGGGGACCUUCGGGCCUCUUGCCAUCAGAUGUGCCCAGAUGGGAUUAGCUUGUUGGUGAGGUAACGGCUCACCAAGGCGACGAUCCCUAGCUGGUCUGAGAGGAUGACCAGCCACACUGGAACUGAGACACGGUCCAGACUCCUACGGGAGGCAGCAGUGGGGAAUAUUGCACAAUGGGCGCAAGCCUGAUGCAGCCAUGCCGCGUGUAUGAAGAAGGCCUUCGGGUUGUAAAGUACUUUCAGCGGGGAGGAAGGUGUUGUGGUUAAUAACCGCAGCAAUUGACGUUACCCGCAGAAGAAGCACCGGCUAACUCCGUGCCAGCAGCCGCGGUAAUACGGAGGGUGCAAGCGUUAAUCGGAAUUACUGGGCGUAAAGCGCACGCAGGCGGUCUGUCAAGUCGGAUGUGAAAUCCCCGGGCUCAACCUGGGAACUGCAUUCGAAACUGGCAGGCUUGAGUCUUGUAGAGGGGGGUAGAAUUCCAGGUGUAGCGGUGAAAUGCGUAGAGAUCUGGAGGAAUACCGGUGGCGAAGGCGGCCCCCUGGACAAAGACUGACGCUCAGGUGCGAAAGCGUGGGGAGCAAACAGGAUUAGAUACCCUGGUAGUCCACGCCGUAAACGAUGUCUACUUGGAGGUUGUGCCCUUGAGGCGUGGCUUCCGGAGCUAACGCGUUAAGUAGACCGCCUGGGGAGUACGGCCGCAAGGUUAAAACUCAAAUGAAUUGACGGGGGCCCGCACAAGCGGUGGAGCAUGUGGUUUAAUUCGAUGCAACGCGAAGAACCUUACCUGGUCUUGACAUCCACGGAAGUUUUCAGAGAUGAGAGUGUGCCUUCGGGAACCGUGAGACAGGUGCUGCAUGGCUGUCGUCAGCUCGUGUUGUGAAAUGUUGGGUUAAGUCCCGCAACGAGCGCAACCCUUAUCCUUUGUUGCCAGCGGUCCGGCCGGGAACUCAAAGGAGACUGCCAGUGAUAAACUGGAGGAAGGUGGGGAUGACGUCAAGUCAUCAUGGCCCUUACGACCAGGGCUACACACGUGCUACAAUGGCGCAUACAAAGAGAAGCGACCUCGCGAGAGCAAGCGGACCUCAUAAAGUGCGUCGUAGUCCGGAUUGGAGUCUGCAACUCGACUCCAUGAAGUCGGAAUCGCUAGUAAUCGUGGAUCAGAAUGCCACGGUGAAUACGUUCCCGGGCCUUGUACACACCGCCCGUCACACCAUGGGAGUGGGUUGCAAAAGAAGUAGGUAGCUUAACCUUCGGGAGGGCGCUUACCACUUUGUGAUUCAUGACUGGGGUGAAGUCGUAACAAGGUAACCGUAGGGGAACCUGCGGUUGGAUCACCUCCUUACCUUAAAGAA
RNAcentral lists this ribosomal RNA (1552 nucleotides) under Salmonella enterica. RNAcentral describes it as "bacterial SSU rRNA". It matches the Rfam family "Bacterial small subunit ribosomal RNA". The record is from RNAcentral. Lineage: Bacteria; Pseudomonadati; Pseudomonadota; Gammaproteobacteria; Enterobacterales; Enterobacteriaceae. RNAcentral also lists the same sequence under 1 other name.